This 540-nucleotide long non-coding RNA is filed under the name Gossypium raimondii (Peruvian cotton). Its description in RNAcentral is "long non-coding RNA (GRAI_LNC004054)". Lineage: Eukaryota; Viridiplantae; Streptophyta; Magnoliopsida; Malvales; Malvaceae. The record is from RNAcentral.
AAAAGAAUUGUUUUUAAUUCUAUUAUAGUGUGUUUUUUUCCAAGCCACCAUUACAAGGUAUUUGUAAUAGGCCAAAUUCGUCUGGCCCAAAUCAAACCAAAAAAGAGGUCAUUAAUUAUCAAGGUCCAUUUACAUAAAAAAACAAGCCUAAUCUACUAACCCUAAGCCCUAAAAGCCCAAUAAUUUGAAGCCCAAAACCCACUAUCCUAAACCCAAAUUGAAAAAAUAAAAAAACCUUAAUCCCUCCAAUCGCUACCUCUACCAUGUCCACAAACACGCCUCUCGAAGUCCCCACACCUCUUCUACCACCAUUUCACCGAAAUGGCAAAGUAUGGCUCCCCAGCACAGUUGACAGCCCCGAACACCUGCAAAAAAAGAAAAAAAACAGAAACAGAGAGCAAAAUAGAGGACAGAACAGAAAAGCAGUGAAAGAAAAAAACAAAAAAAAAUAUUUUGUAAUUGAUUUGAAUAUAAAAGCUAAACAAAAACUCUUUGUAAAAUAAAAGAGAAGAAAUCAAAUAUAUAAAAAAAGAAGAAAAA